This 76-nucleotide transfer RNA is filed under the name Hyaloperonospora arabidopsidis Emoy2. It matches the Rfam family "tRNA". Rfam says of the family: Transfer RNA (tRNA) molecules are approximately 80 nucleotides in length. Their secondary structure includes four short double-helical elements and three loops (D, anti-codon, and T loops). Lineage: Eukaryota; Oomycota; Peronosporomycetes; Peronosporales; Peronosporaceae. The record is from Rfam by way of RNAcentral.
GCACUUAUGGUGUAACGAUUGGAACUCUAGACUUUGAAUCCAGCGAACGAUCCGGGUUCAAAUCCCGGUAGGAGCU